UAAUUGCAGAAUAAUCUGUAUCGUACUGAAGAACUGGGAGAAUGUUCGUUGCGUGGUUGCAAUAUGAAUUCGGACUGAGACCAGCAGAUAUUCUCGAAAGUGGACUAGACCUGACAACGGUUGGAAUUAGGUUGCAGGAAGACUUCCUUCUAUAUUUGGAGAAGAGUAAUUAUUUGGAGAAACUGAAAGAAUAUUAUGCCAAACAAAUCAAUGAUUCACUAAAGAACAGCAUUUUACAACCCGUAAACGUCUAUUUACCAAUUGAUAUGGAAGAUCUGUUGAGUGUAUCAGGUGAACAUUUUACAAACUUGCUGUUUCAUGAACCACACAUUGCUCUUUCUAUUGUUCACAAAGUGGUAUAUACUGCUCUACAUUGCAUGGAAAAUACACAUAUUGUUUUACCAGGACAAGUAAAAAUUGUACUGCGACCCUCAAAUAUAUUGCGUAAUGUCUCUUAUUGGGACUAUAGUGCAGAAUAUCGUGGAAUAUCAACAUUGCAAGGAGUUGUAAUAUCACUAUCAAAGCCACAUAAGUAUACCCAAAGUUUAGUUGUCAGAUGCCAGGAAACAAAGUGUAUCAAUUCAAAAGGUUAUCGUAUGCCAGGUGCCAUAAACACAUCAUACAUUCAUUGCAACCUCUGUGGUUCAAAACUAAUAGAAGAAUUUAGGUGUAGAGAAACAGGAGAUCAAGUUCUUGCAUUGAUGGUCAAUCCAGAAGCAUAUAAAUUUAAUCAGCAGCAUCUGUACAAACGCAGCCAGGCAGUGCUUGUCUGUUUUCAAGAUGAUCUUGUUUGCAGUUUACAUCUUGGAGGCUGCUAUAACGUGGUAGGGCACAAACAGCCAAAAUUCUUUUAUGCAUGGAAUAUUGAAGAAGUGGUUAAUUUGUAUGGAGAAUAUAAUACAAAGAAAGUUUAUUCAGCAACUCUUCCAAAACAAAUUUCACACUUGUUGGACCUAUUGAGGAGCAAUGACUGUCAUUCACCAUGGUCAUUUGUGACAGCACUUGCUUCACAGAUUGCAACUGACAUCUAUCCAGCCUCAGCACUGUUGCAUUUAAAAAUGGGAAUGCUUUUAAACCUGGCAGUUCAGGGAAGCAGUCAGAAGAAGCCAGUACACCUGUUGGCAAUUGGAAGAGAUGUGCUCUUAGCGCAGCGGCUCCUGAGGCGAGGUGGGCAAAUGGGACAACGUUAUAUUGAACACUUUUCACCUGUUUUUACCUGUGCUGUUAAUGGAAAUACUCGCGUGGAUGAGCAAGGUCUCCAGUGGACUGAUGCUGGCCCUCUGACGCUGGCUAAAAAUGGGGUAUGCUGUCUAGGUGAUUGGGCAAAGUUUUCUCAACACUCAAAGCACACACACAUUGUUUCUGCCAUUGAAACUGGACAAAUUUCAUUCAGACAUCAUGGAAAUGUAACUGAAGGGAUGCACACGAGUCCAUUAGAGUGUUCUGUGUGGACAUACUGUCAGCAUUCUCCUUACAGUUCAAAUUUCUCAGAUCAGAAGCAGAUUAGAAUGCUCAUUAACAUUUUUGGUAUUCCGUAUCUGUGUGAUGACAGCAAUGAAACAGUGGAAAUUUGUCAACACAUUUUAAUGAAAUCAAUAUUAAGAACUGAAAGUGAAUUAAAUAAUGAUGACUUGAGAGAGUUUCUGCGGAUUGUCUCAACAAAAAAUCUAGUUCUUAAAGAAGAAGCCAGACAACUUAUAUGCAGUUAUUUUGUGGCCUGUCGCAGAGUAAGACCUGACUGUCUUCCUGUUGGUGCAAUAGAAACAAUCACAGCACUGUCUGAAGGGCACGCAAGAUUGUCGAUGAAAAGUGAAGUAUGCUAUGAAGAUGUUUUGCCUGUUCUAAGACUCUACGAGGAAUCUCUGUAUGCAAUAUUUGGGAGCUCUUUUGUAUCUCCUCCACCAAUUGCAAGGCAAAGUGGACUUACUUCAAUGAAAUCUUUAAUUAUGCAGCAGUUAAAAAUGGAUAAAAGCAUCCUGCUUAACUUGCAUUAAUGCAGCACUAGAACACAACUCCAUACUUCUGCUGUUCAAAAGACACUGGGAUGACCGCAACACAUUCAGAUUAUGCAUGCAUACAUGCAUAUGAAGGAGGAAGUUACCGUCCACUUGCCAUCUGGUGCAUUUCUCCAGACAAAGACUGAGAUGGAACAUUUUUCAGCCUGGAUAAUUAACUACAUCAAAUCUGUAAUUGGAGUACAUCCCUUUCAGUAUUGCAAUGCUGAAGAAUAAUACAGCUUAUCAAAUUUGUAAUUUAUUGUCUUGUCACAAACUACUAUCAGUUACAUGGUAGACAGGCACAAUUUCUUACUGAAUUAACAAAUGGUUUAAAUAUGUUCUAUUCUGCCAAAUCCUGCCUCAAUUGUCAGUUUUUAAAGAAAGGCAGUAAUUUCUGCCACAAGAAUGUUACUGCUAUCACUUAAAUUAGUAUCAUAUGUGAAAUGAUAUAUUUUUUAAGCUUCAAGCACUAAUGGGAAUGAGGGGCUAGAAAUUUGUUCAAGUAACCAAAUCAAACGAACAGUUUUUACACAUACCUGUUAGGACAAAUUUCCAGAAAAGUGAGUGUGGUUAUUAUUUUGAUAUCAAAAGACGCAACAGAUCUUUUUAAAAUAUCAUUUGAGUAUCUUCCACUUCAAAAUUUAUCUACAAAAAUAUUUUUAAUGUACAACAAUACUGAAUAAAUCUGUACAUCAGUGUGACCAAGCAACAACAGAAUCCACACAUCAAAUAAGUGUGAAAGUUAAAUAUUAGUGUACUACCUAUAAUGUCUGCAGUGAAUAAAAUUUGUCACUUGGGUUCAGCGUCCAUUUUAGUCUAUAGGCUCACAUCUGUAUUCUUAAGAAUACUAACAAUAAGUUUUAGGAACAGUUCUAAUAUUGAGCACAGAGAAUAGGUUAUAUUAUAUUGUCAUCAAGCAGAAUCAGUUGGAAAAAUAGCACAGACAUUGGUUCCCAAAGAAAUGUUAAACACAAAGCAAACAUAACAAGUAACUGCUAGUGUGUUUUCAGCUUAAUUACAGAUGACUGUUAAGCAACAAGCAAUUGGGAUGGGCAAUUGAAAGUAAUAAGUAUGUUAGAAUUUUAUUUUAUUUCCUUGUAAAAUAUUUGGUUGUAUACCACUUUUUUAAACAACUAUGUACAGAUUACAAUACAUGAAACUUCUAAAUAAAUUGAGCAGAAAAAAUGAAGUAUUUUAAUAAACAGUUUUUAAAUCUCCUCCAGUCAGUUUACAUGAGAACACAGAAAAAGAUGACUAGAUCUGAUGAGACCAUGCAGUACCCUUGUAUAAGAAACUAAUGUUAAGUAGUUUCAUGAACUGAUACAUUGAUAUAGUAUUCAGAAAACAACUUGUACCAUUAUUUAAUUAUUACUAAGAUUGAGAUUCAAAUAUUAAAUAAAAGACACCUGGAAACAAUGCAGUUACAGGUGUGGAGGAAGUGCUCUCUCUCAGCACUGUGCUAUAAAAUAAACAAACUUCCACUUCGGCAGAUUUCUUUGUAAUUAUGUAAUACUCUUCGAAACUUUCACACUAUGUACGCAGUAAAAAUGAGGGAUACAGGAAACCAUUUAUACUUUCAGAUAACAUCAUUUUGCGUAGAAUGUGAUAAUAUACAAUAUUUCUGUUUGUUCUCAUGUAAUUUGUGCAGGAUUCAGUUUCUGUAUUGUACCUCAUUCUAAGACUAAUGAAAUCACCUAAUUUUGAACUAAAACAUAUGUUUCCUAAAAUUGUUGGAAUGUAAUAGUUUUAUAUGAUUGAGCACCAAUGCAUAAAUGAAAAUUUGUGCAGGUUAAGUUUUCAGUAACUUUUAUUGUAAACACUGAUCCAUCUUGUCUGAAAGUCUGACCAUCCCUUAAUGAGAAACUGC
Schistocerca americana (American grasshopper) is the source of this 3864-nucleotide RNA transcript. It is a transcript of the gene named minichromosome maintenance domain-containing protein 2-like, with no coding region annotated. Lineage: Eukaryota; Metazoa; Arthropoda; Insecta; Orthoptera; Acrididae. The record is from RefSeq and is a predicted model, not a curated record. The transcript has 13 exons.